UGCGCCUACGGGAGGCAGCAGUGGGGAAUAUUGCACAAUGGGGGGAACCCUGAUGCAGCGACGCCGCGUGAGUGAAGAAGUAUUUCAGUAUGUAAAGCUCUAUCAGCAGGGAAGAUAAUGACGGUACCUGACUAAGAAGCCCCGGCUAACUACGUGCCAGCAGCCGCGGUAAUACGUAGGGGGCAAGCGUUAUCCGGAUUUACUGGGUGUAAAGGGUGCGUAGGUGGCAGGGCAAGUCAGAUGUGAAAGCCCGGGGCUCAACCCCGGCGAGCCGUUGAAACUGGCGGGCUGGAGUUGGAGAGAAG
RNAcentral lists this ribosomal RNA (305 nucleotides) under uncultured bacterium. Its description in RNAcentral is "bacterial SSU rRNA". It matches the Rfam family "Bacterial small subunit ribosomal RNA", at positions 334 to 657 of the family's 1533-position model. The record is from RNAcentral.